GAUGAACGCUGGCGGCGUGCCUAAUACAUGCAAGUAGAACGCUGAAGCUUGGUGCUUGCACCGAGCGGAUGAGUUGCGAACGGGUGAGUAACGCGUAGGUAACCUGCCUGGUAGCGGGGGAUAACUAUUGGAAACGAUAGCUAAUACCGCAUGACAACAGUUAUUGCAUGAUAACUGUUUAAAAGGGGCAAUUGCUCCACUACCAGAUGGACCUGCGUUGUAUUAGCUAGUUGGUGAGGUAACGGCUCACCAAGGCGACGAUACAUAGCCGACCUGAGAGGGUGAUCGGCCACACUGGGACUGAGACACGGCCCAGACUCCUACGGGAGGCAGCAGUAGGGAAUCUUCGGCAAUGGACGGAAGUCUGACCGAGCAACGCCGCGUGAGUGAAGAAAGUUUUCGGAUCGUAAAGCUCUGUUGUAAGAGAAGAACGAGUGUGAGAGUGGAAAGUUCACACUGUGACGGUAUCUUACCAGAAAGGGACGGCUAACUACGUGCCAGCAGCCGCGGUAAUACGUAGGUCCCGAGCGUUAUCCGGAUUUAUUGGGCGUAAAGCGAGCGCAGGCGGUUAGAUAAGUCUGAAGUUAAAGGCUGUGGCUUAACCAUAGUACGCUUUGGAAACUGUUUAACUUGAGUGCAAGAGGGGAGAGUGGAAUUCCAUGUGUAGCGGUGAAAUGCGUAGAUAUAUGGGAGGAACACCGGUGGCGAAAGCGGCUCUCUGGCGUGUAACUGACGCUGAGGCUCGAAAGCGUGGGGAGCAAACAAG
Molecule: ribosomal RNA, 766 nt
Filed under: uncultured Streptococcus sp.
Lineage: Bacteria; Bacillati; Bacillota; Bacilli; Lactobacillales; Streptococcaceae
Description: bacterial SSU rRNA
Rfam family: Bacterial small subunit ribosomal RNA
Source: RNAcentral